RNAcentral lists this ribosomal RNA (635 nucleotides) under uncultured Knoellia sp. RNAcentral's name for it is "bacterial SSU rRNA". It matches the Rfam family "Bacterial small subunit ribosomal RNA", at positions 28 to 674 of the family's 1533-position model. The record is from RNAcentral. Lineage: Bacteria; Bacillati; Actinomycetota; Actinomycetes; Micrococcales; Intrasporangiaceae.
GACGAACGCUGGCGGCGUGCUUAACACAUGCAAGUCGAACGGUGAUCUUGGGGCUUGCUUCAAGGUUGCAGUGGCGAACGGGUGAGUAACACGUGAGUAACCUGCCCCUGACUCUGGAAUAAGCGCUGGAAACGGCGUCUAAUACCGGAUAUGACAUCAACCUGCAUGGGUAUGGUGUGGAAAGUUUUUCGGUUGGGGAUGGACUCGCGGCCUAUCAGCUUGUUGGUGAGGUAAUGGCUCACCAAGGCGAUGACGGGUAGCCGGCCUGAGAGGGCGAUCGGCCACACUGGGACUGAGACACGGCCCAGACUCCUACGGGAGGCAGCAGUGGGGAAUAUUGCACAAUGGGCGCAAGCCUGAUGCAGCGACGCCGCGUGAGGGAUGACGGCCUUCGGGUUGUAAACCUCUUUCAGCAGGGAAGAAGCGAAAGUGACGGUACCUGCAGAAGAAGCACCGGCUAACUACGUGCCAGCAGCCGCGGUAAUACGUAGGGUGCGAGCGUUGUCCGGAAUUAUUGGGCGUAAAGAGCUUGUAGGCGGUUUGUCGCGUCUGCUGUGAAAAUCCGGGGCUCAACCCCGGACUUGCAGUGGGUACGGGCAGACUAGAGUGUGGUAGGGGAGACUGGAAUUCCUGGU